GGACUACACGGGUAUCUAAUCCUGUUUGCUCCCCACGCUUUCGUAGUUGAGUGUCAGUAUCUGUCCAGGUCGCCGCCUUCGCCUCUGGUGUUCCUCCCGAUCUCUACGCAUUUCACCGCUACACCGGGAAUUCCACGACCCUCUCCAGAACUCUAGUCUCACCGUUUCGAAGGCACUUCUUGGGUUAAGCCCAAGGCUUUCACCCCCGACAAAUGAGACCACCUACCUACCCUUUACGCCCAAUAAUUCCGAGCAACGCUUGCACCCUCUGUAUUACCGCGGCUGCUGGCAC
This 292-nucleotide ribosomal RNA is filed under the name uncultured bacterium. RNAcentral's name for it is "partial 16S ribosomal RNA". The record is from RNAcentral.